AGUGAACGCUGGCGGUGGGCCUAACACAUGCAAGUCGAACGGCAGCACAGUAAUAGCUUGCUCUUACGGGUGGCGAGUGGCGGACGGGUGAGGAAUACUUCGGCAUCUACUUUUUCGUGGGGGAUAACGUAGGGAAACUUACGCUAAUACCGCAUACGACCUACGGGUUAAAGCAGGGGAUCUUCGGACCUUGCGCGAUUGAAUGACCCGAUGUCGGAUUAGCUAGUUGGAGGGGUAAAGGCCCACCAAGGCGACGAUCCGUAGCUGGUCUGAGAGGAUGAUCAGCGACACUGGAACUGAGACACGGUCCAGACUCCUACGGGAGGCAGAAGUGGGGAAGAUUGGACAAUGGGCGCAAGCCUGAUCCAGCCAUACCGCGUGGGUGAAGAAGGCCUUCGGGUUGUAAAGCCCUUUUGUGGGGAAAGAAAAGCAGCAGGUGAAUACCCCGCUGUUCUGACGGUACCCAAAGAAUAAGCACCGGCUAACUUCGUG
RNAcentral lists this ribosomal RNA (492 nucleotides) under uncultured bacterium. RNAcentral describes it as "partial 16S ribosomal RNA". It matches the Rfam family "Bacterial small subunit ribosomal RNA", at positions 29 to 507 of the family's 1533-position model. The record is from RNAcentral.